AGAGUUUGAUCCUGGCUCAGAUUGAACGCUGGCGGCAUGCUUUACACAUGCAAGUCGGACGGCAGCACAGGGAAGCUUGCUUCUCGGGUGGCGAGUGGCGAACGGGUGAGUAACAUAUCGGAACGUACCGGGUAGCGGGGGAUAACUGAUCGAAAGAUCAGCUAAUACCGCAUACGUCUUGAGAGGGAAAGCAGGGGACCUUCGGGCCUUGCGCUAUCCGAGCGGCCGAUAUCUGAUUAGCUGGUUGGCGGGGUAAAGGCCCACCAAGGCGACGAUCAGUAGCGGGUCUGAGAGGAUGAUCCGCCACACUGGGACUGAGACACGGCCCAGACUCCUACGGGAGGCAGCAGUGGGGAAUUUUGGACAAUGGGCGCAAGCCUGAUCCAGCCAUGCCGCGUGUCUGAAGAAGGCCUUCGGGUUGUAAAGGACUUUUGUCAGGGAAGAAAAGGCCGUUGCCAAUAUCGGCGGCCGAUGACGGUACCUGAAGAAUAAGCACCGGCUAACUACGUGCCAGCAGCCGCGGUAAUACGUAGGGUGCGAGCGUUAAUCGGAAUUACUGGGCGUAAAGCGGGCGCAGACGGUUACUUAAGCAGGAUGUGAAAUCCCCGGGCUCAACCCGGGAACUGCGUUCUGAACUGGGUGACUCGAGUGUGUCAGAGGGAGGUGGAAUUCCACGUGUAGCAGUGAAAUGCGUAGAGAUGUGGAGGAAUACCGAUGGCGAAGGCAGCCUCCUGGGAUAACACUGACGUUCAUGUCCGAAAGCGUGGGUAGCAAACAGGAUUAGAUACCCUGGUAGUCCACGCCCUAAACGAUGUCAAUUAGCUGUUGGGCAACUUGAUUGCUUGGUAGCGUAGCUAACGCGUGAAAUUGACCGCCUGGGGAGUACGGUCGCAAGAUUAAAACUCAAAGGAAUUGACGGGGACCCGCACAAGCGGUGGAUGAUGUGGAUUAAUUCGAUGCAACGCGAAGAACCUUACCUGGUUUUGACAUGUGCGGAAUCCUCCGGAGACGGAGGAGUGCCUUCGGGAGCCGUAACACAGGUGCUGCAUGGCUGUCGUCAGCUCGUGUCGUGAGAUGUUGGGUUAAGUCCCGCAACGAGCGCAACCCUUGUCAUUAGUUGCCAUCAUUCGGUUGGGCACUCUAAUGAGACUGCCGGUGACAAGCCGGAGGAAGGUGGGGAUGACGUCAAGUCCUCNGGACGCGGGCGGUUUUACCCGUUGCCGCAUCAACCGUUCCAAGGAAUUUGCAGACCGUCGGAACCACAUUAACGGCAUUGGGAACUUUUGGAAUCAGGCAAAACGCGCCUUGCGAAAAUACAACGGAAUCGAUCGUAAACCUUUCCCGCCGUUGUUGAGGGAAUGCGAAUUUCGAUUUAACUUCGGCACACCGUCCCGGCAGCUAAAAAUCCUGCGGGAUCGGUG
RNAcentral lists this ribosomal RNA (1421 nucleotides) under Neisseria gonorrhoeae. Its description in RNAcentral is "bacterial SSU rRNA". It matches the Rfam family "Bacterial small subunit ribosomal RNA", at positions 8 to 1303 of the family's 1533-position model. Lineage: Bacteria; Pseudomonadati; Pseudomonadota; Betaproteobacteria; Neisseriales; Neisseriaceae. The record is from RNAcentral.